CGUGAGGGAUGACGGCCUUCGGGUUGUAAACCUCUUUUAGCAGGGAAAAAGCGAAAGUGACGGUACCUGCAGAAAAAGCGCCGGCUAACUACGUGCCAGCAGCCGCGGUAAUACGUAGGGCGCAAGCGUUAUCCGGAAUUAUUGGGCGUAAAGAGCUCGUAGGCGGUUUGUCGCGUCUGCUGUGAAAUCCGGAGGCUCAACCUCCGGCCUGCAGUGGGUACGGGCAGACUAGAGUGCGGUAGGGGAGAUUGGAAUUCCUGGUGUAGCGGUGGAAUGCGCAGAUAUCAGGAGGAACACCGAUGGCGAAGGCAGAUCUCUGGGCCGUAACUGACGCUGAGGAGCGAAAGGGUGGGGAGCAAACAGGCUUAUAUACCCUGGUAGUCCACCCCGUAAACGUUGGGAACUAGUUGUGGGGUCCAUUCCACGGAUUCCGUGACGCAGCUAACGCAUUAAGUUCCCCGCCUGGGGAGUACGGCCGCAAGGCUAAAACUCAAAGGAAUUGACGGGGACCCGCACAAGCGGCGGAGCAUGCGGAUUAAUUCGAUGCAACGCGAAGAACCUUACCAAGGCUUGACAUAUACAAGAACGGGCCAGAAAUGGUCAACUC
RNAcentral lists this ribosomal RNA (607 nucleotides) under Microbacterium sp. Se2Pt_474. RNAcentral's name for it is "bacterial SSU rRNA". It matches the Rfam family "Bacterial small subunit ribosomal RNA", at positions 400 to 1016 of the family's 1533-position model. Lineage: Bacteria; Bacillati; Actinomycetota; Actinomycetes; Micrococcales; Microbacteriaceae. The record is from RNAcentral.